This 429-nucleotide ribosomal RNA is filed under the name Acidobacteriota bacterium. RNAcentral describes it as "Acidobacteria bacterium partial 16S ribosomal RNA". It matches the Rfam family "Bacterial small subunit ribosomal RNA", at positions 355 to 776 of the family's 1533-position model. The record is from RNAcentral. Lineage: Bacteria; Pseudomonadati; Acidobacteriota.
UGGGGAAUUUUGGACAAUGGGGGAAACCCUGAUCCAGCCAUCCCGCGUGUGCGAUGAAGGCCUUCGGGUUGUAAAGCACUUUUGGCAGGAAAGAAACGUCAUGGGUUAAUACCCCGUGAAACUGACGGUACCUGCAGAAUAAGCACCGGCUAACUACGUGCCAGCAGCCGCGGUAAUACGUAGGGUGCAAGCGUUAAUCGGACUUACUGGGCGUAAAGCGUGCGCAGGCGGUUCGGAAAGAAAGAUGUGAAAUCCCAGAGCUCAACUUUGGAACUGCAUUUUUAACUACCGAGCUAGAGUGUGUCAGAUGGAGGUGGAAUUCCGCGUGUAGGAGUGAAAUGCGUAGAUAUGCGGAGGAACACCGAUGGCGAAGGCAGCCUCCUGGGAUAACACUGACGCUCAUGCACGAAAGCGUGGGGAGCAAACAGG